GUAACCAACUAUAAACAUUGGCACCUGCGGGCCUGUCACCUUUCUUCUACACGGCCAUGCCGGCGAUUGCUUUUCUGCAACCUUAAACCUUACCGAUUCUCCAACGAAAAUGCGAAGGAAUUGUACGCCAAGGAUUUUCUCCGGCUUCCCGCCGCGUCCCUUUGCAACUCCCAACUGCAUGAAAAAAGAUGGUCAGGUAAAAGCUGUGAGAACGAUGGUAAUCUGAGCGGACCGUGGGAUCGGCCGCUCCAAGACGACUUUAAUCUUCAUAAUGAAGUCGACGCUUAUCGGUUUCGUUAAUUAAGCGAGCGACUCAUCGGAUCGUAGCCUCCCAAGAUGACGGUUGCAGUGGCAACGCCGUAGGGUCUCUUUCGAUUUCGAAGAAGCGACGCAAGAAGAAUGUAGUCUUGUCAUCGACUUACCGAUGUACGGUACUUUCGAGUCCUCCAGUUUUUUCGCCCUUUUCCCUUGCUAGCGUAUACGCACGUGUCCAUCCGACGAACGUUAAUUAUUCGGAUAAACAGCGCGACGCUUUUCUUUCAAGUUAUAUCGAUCCAACAUCUAAGAUAAUCCUCUCGUUUUCGUUUCAAUGGAAUGCAGAAGUCACCGCACAGCCGUGUGACAGUUGACUACCAUGUAACAUAAUGUCGUGGCUUUCCAAUGGCGGUAUUCUACAUGCAGAGUACACUAAAUCUCUCGAGGGAGGAAAAAAUACACAUAGCGCGUGUCUUACUUCGCUGUCCGAAACGCCAGGGAAAUAUAUGGCGAUCGUUCCGGGGAGGGAAUAUAAAUUUUAGCUGAAUUUUUUUCUAAUGCCGGUUCUAAACAGUCGACCGAUGUGAUCGUAAGAUAUCCACGGGAAGUAUCUCGUAACUUAUACACCAAUGUAUCUGUAUUGAGCUUAAACGCGCCAUUUAUAAGCGCUCGCAUCCGUUUAAGUGGCAAACGAGCGUGUUGUCGCGUAUAUGCAAGCGUCGCAGUGCAUUUCUCUUCAGUCUUUCGAAGAAUGUCGACCUUUUACCGCGCCGAAGUAUUCCACUACGUGAUUCCGUACAAUGAGUUCGAAUCUGGUCUCCUCCCGGGACACCCGGUAUAUUUACAUAGGCUUUUGCCAUGGUACUGGCAAGAUGCUGCUGGAAGCGCUGGACCAACACCUGUACAACUACGAUACGAGUUAUCGCGUUGUCGUACAAGCAGCAAGUAAACUAUAGUUUAAAUCUUCUCUUGCCGGAAAUAGUCUUUUGCCACGUUUCAAAGUGGCCGGAUUUUAUAGAAAAAGCGUUCGAUUGUUCGGUACAG
RNAcentral lists this unclassified non-coding RNA (1299 nucleotides) under Bombus terrestris (buff-tailed bumblebee). RNAcentral's name for it is "misc RNA ENSBTSG00005033139.1". Lineage: Eukaryota; Metazoa; Arthropoda; Insecta; Hymenoptera; Apidae. The record is from RNAcentral.